UACGGAGGGUGCAAGCGUUGUUCGGAUUUACUGGGCGUAAAGCGCGCGCAGGUGGAUAAACAAGUCGGAAGUGAAAUCUUGAGGCUCAACCUCGAGGCUGCUCCCGAAACUGUUUGUCUAGGGACUGGUAGAGGCUGGUAGAAUUCCCGGUGUAGCGGUGGAAUGCGUAGAGAUCGGGAAGAAUACCUGUGGCGAAGGCGGCCAGCUGGGCCAGAUCCGACACUGAGGCGCGAAAGCGUGGGGAGCAAACAGG
This 253-nucleotide ribosomal RNA is filed under the name uncultured bacterium. Its description in RNAcentral is "partial 16S ribosomal RNA". It matches the Rfam family "Bacterial small subunit ribosomal RNA", at positions 524 to 776 of the family's 1533-position model. The record is from RNAcentral.